GCCGAGAGUAGAAGCGUUCAGCGGCAGAUGCACCAUCGAAAGUGCGCCGCCCGGAAAUUGCUCUUGCA
RNAcentral lists this non-coding RNA (68 nucleotides) under unclassified sequences. RNAcentral's name for it is "Xanthine-I sequence". It matches the Rfam family "Xanthine riboswitch aptamer (NMT1 RNA)". Rfam says of the family: Later it was reported as a ncRNA that recognised Xanthine. The record is from Rfam by way of RNAcentral.